CUGCCAGACUUGGAACCGGGAGAGGUAAGAGGUACUACAGGGGUAGGAGUGAAAUCUUGUAAUCCCUGUGGGACCACCUGUGGCGAAGGCGUCUUACCAGAACGGGUUCGACGGUGAGGGACGAAAGCUGGGGGCACGAACCGGAUUAGAUACCCGGGUAGUCCCAGCCGUAAACGAUGCUCGCUAGGUGUCAGGCAUGGCGCGACCGUGUCUGGUGCCGCAGGGAAGCCGUGAAGCGAGCCACCUGGGAAGUACGGCCGCAAGGCUGAAACUUAA
RNAcentral lists this ribosomal RNA (276 nucleotides) under uncultured archaeon. Its description in RNAcentral is "partial 16S ribosomal RNA". It matches the Rfam family "Archaeal small subunit ribosomal RNA", at positions 584 to 859 of the family's 1478-position model. The record is from RNAcentral.